CCCCAAUCGCGCACCCCACAAACCAUAUCCUGGUGUAAUACCCAAGAAAAAAAGAAAAGGGCUUUUAGAGGGUGGAGAGGCAGGAACAUCCAGCCCAGUCCUUCCUGUCCUCCCCACAUUGCCUCCUCCCCAGUCCCGACGCAUCUCCUUCCCCUUAUCGUUCUCUUUCUCCUCCUCAUUCCAUCCAUGGCUGCUCCUCCCUAGAUCCCCCAAUGCAGAACCAAAUCCUUGAAGGGGAGUAGCAAAAACGGAACGGGAAGAGUAAAAGGAGCUCGAGGAGAUGCUUUUCCCCCUCACUCCCCACGGCUAGGGUUUGGGGGAAACUCAAGGGCUUCCUUCUGUGCAAAGGAUAUUGCUGUUGAUGAUCGCUAUCUGGGCUUCCUGAGUUGCCUCCUAAGUGGGAGCCGAUUCUUGAGAUCAAGUUGAUUUUGGGUACACAACCUAUUAAUAAGACACAAUAUAAGUUGGCUCCAAUAUAGCAAGAGGAUUUUAAGAUGUAGCUAGAUUGACCUUCAUGCUAAGGGGUUUAUUCGCUGAAGCACAUCGCCUUGGGUUACUACUAUUAUUUAUUUGUUGGAGAAAAGGGAUGACACAAAGGUGCUUCCUGUGGGGCAUAGGUUACUUAAUCAUGAGACGAUCAAGGCAAGUACAUUUUGUCUUGUAUGGAUGCCCGGUGCCAAUGUGUUCUCUAAGAUUGUGUUGCAGUCUAAUUACCAUCAACUUUGGAUCAGAGAUAAUGAUUGAGAAGGUGGCUUUCAAUGCAAAGUAUGGGCACUAUGAGUAUGUUGUCAUUUCGUUUGGAGUAACAAAUGUCCUUCUAUUGUAUGGAGACCAUGGUCAGGAUGUUGCAAGAGUACUUGGAUGUUUCUGUGGUAGUUUGCAUUUAUGAUAUCCUAGUCUACUCUAAGUUCAAGGAGGAAUAUGGGGUUUAGUUUGGUGCCAUAUAUGUCAUGGAUGGUCUAGGGAAGAAUAAUUAUACACAAAGCUGAGGAAAUUAGCUUUUUGGAUUUCUGAAGAGAGCACUUUGGGGUCAUGUGACUGACCAGGUAUUAUGGUGAAAUAUUUCCUUUUGUGAUGGGGCUGUCAAGACCAACCAAUGUGAUAGAGGUUCAAAUUUAUCUUGGGCUCGCUGGUUAUUGUUGGUGCUUGGUGAAGGAUUCCUUAAUAUUUAUAAACCUAUUAUUUGGCUUACUGAGAAGGGUUCUCCACUAGGACCACUGAGUGUGUGGGGGGGGGGGGGAUUAGAAACUUGAAAGGGUAAAUUAGUGAAAUGUCCUAUAUUGACUUUAUCAGAUGGUAGCAAGGGAUUUAAUUUGUAUACGGAUGCAUCCUGUACAAGCUUGGUUGGGUGCUUACGUAAAUGAGCAUGGUGCUUAUGCUUCACUUUAGUAUAAGAACCCUAAAUGGAUCAUUUUAUGCAUGAUUUGGAGCUAAUUGUAGUGGUUUUGCUUUAAAAUUUAGAGGCACUGUAUUUAUGGUGAGUCAUAUUAUUUCUCUACUUAUCAUCAAAGCCUCAAGUAUAUAUUCACCAGGAAGGAGUUAAAUCCGAGGCAAUGAGACUUGAGUCGAUAGAGGAUUAAGAUUUGACUGUCCAACAUCAUACAAGAAAGCAAAUGUUGUAGCCCAUUCACUUUGUAGGAUAGAGGUGCUAAAUCACUGAUGCCCUCGAUUUCAAAUAUGAAUCAUAUAGUUAUUUUAUUAUUUAGGUGUUGCAUAUCAAGAGACUAAAGUGAGCAUUUAGUCUUCCCUAUAUAUCCUGCACGCGAGGCUCAAAAGCAAGAUCGCUUAAGCCAGGAGGUUGGAAAUAGGAUUUCUAAUGGUAUGCAAUAGGAAUUCAACAUUGGUGAUCAUGGGAUCGUACAUUUCAGAGAACACUUUUGUGUCAUAGAAAUCAAUGGUGAAGAUGGGUAUUUUAACAGAGGCAUGUCAGACACCAUAUGCGGUUCAUUGUGGUGAGACACAAGUGUAUCAAGAUUUGAGGCAAAACCUCUGGUGGAAAAGGAUGACAGUUGAUAGUUCCAAUUAUGUGGUGGCUUAAGUUUGUAGUAGGUGAGGUUUAGAGCACAAAAGUCCGCAAGUUUGUUAAGCCUUGAGUGGAAAUGAGAGCAUAUUACUAUGAAUUUUGUGAAUUAGUUUGCCUCGGUCACCUCAAGGAAGGGAUGCUAUGUGGAUUGUUGGGGAUAGACCCACCAAACUGGCAUGUUCCAUUCCAGUAUAAACAACUGGCACUGCACUGGAUUUGGUUCCCUUAUGUAUUAGAUGGAUGGUCAAUUAGAGCGUACCCUUUGGAUCUUGGAGGAUAUUCUUCGAACUUGGAUCCUUUCUUCAAAAGGUAGUUCGAGGAUUAUCUAGCAAUGUAAGAGUUGGCUUAUGAUAAUAGUCGCCAAGCUAGUAAACAUAUGGUUCCAUAUAAUACUUUGUAUGGAAUAAGGUGGACCUCACCUUUUUAUGAUUUGGAAACUUUGGAUGAGAGGUAUUUGGUUGGUCAAGAUUGGGUUAGGAGACAUCUAAGAAGGUGCAAGAGAUACAUUAAAAUUUAUUGGCUGCUUAUAGUCGACAAAAGUACUAUGCAAAUGUCACGAGGCGGGAUUUAGAGUUUGUAGUGGGAGACAAAGUUCUCCCAAGGUCUUCACAAACCCAAGGCAUUAAGCGUGGUAUGCUACACCUAGCAAGCUUAACCCAAGACACAUUGGCCUACUUCAUUUUGUACCUCAGGUUGAAAAGUAUUUGAAGGACCUUGAGCACAAGGUUGAUUUGGGGCAUGAUGGAGUGGAGUAGAACUUGAUAAUUGUAUGGCAGGUAGUGCACAUUUUGGACUCUUUACGUGGGCCAGGAGAAGAAGAGUUACUAAGUAUGUGAAGGCACUUGGGCUAAUUUGGAAGAAGCUACUUGAAAGCUCGAAGAUUAAUUAAUGUACAAAACAUCCAUAACUCUUUGAAGCGAUGGAGUUAUAUGCCUCCAUUUAAGUUGUCUCUUGCUUGGUCACUCCGUUGUCAUGGUAUGAUCGAAUUUGGGGACGAAUUCCCUAAAGGACGGGAGAAUGUAAUACCCAAAAAAAAGAAAAGGGCUUUAAGAGGGGGGAGAGGCAGGGCCCAUCCAGCCCACACCUUCCCGUCCUCCCCAUGCUGCCUCCUCCCCAGUCCCGAUGCAUCUCCUUCCCCUUCUCGUUCUCUUUCUCCUCCUCCCAUGGCUGCUCCUCCCUAGACCCCCCCAAUGCAGCACCCAAUCCUUGAAAGGGAGUAGCAAAAAAUGGAACGGAAAGAGUAAAAGGAGCUCGAGGAGAUGGAUCUUGGGGGUAGAUUUGCUUUUCCCCCUCACUCCCCGCGGCUAGGGUUUGGGGGAAACUCAAGGUACUUGAGUGGCUUUUGGCUUGAUGGGUGGGAAGUAGCAGCUCACGUCACACUUCAUGCCAUUAUCUUGUUUUAAACUCGUGCUGUAACAUAACUAGUGAUAGAAUUUUAGUUAAACUUAUCUUUAGACUUGUGGAUCAUGUGGGUUGUUCCUAGACCCUGGUGGUGCCUAUCUAAUCUUUUAGGUUGUUAUUCCUUGCUAUUGCACUUAUUCAUCUAUCUUGUUGUGUGGUUGCUUCCGCUUGAACUCAGACAGGGGAGAUGCCGCCAAAAUUUUUCUUGUUGGCGUUUAUGUUUGAGUGGUGGCAUCCUGAUACGGGUUGUUUAGGGGGUGUUACACCUGGACACCCUCUUAGUCCUAAACCUUGAACUCGCUAGUAGCAGGCCGCCGCCAAUCCCUGGCUGAUCGUGUGCGCAUGCGACCGCUCAGCGGCAAACUGAACAUGAGCAGUGGCGGCGGCAACCUUUCGGUGGCUCACGCAGGGUCCGUGGUUAGGGCUAAUUGUCAUGUAAGUGAUAUUAUUGUUCUAUUAGUGCUAAUUUAUCAUAGUUUGCACCUAAUUUGUUGUUAAUCAUCAUGCUUAAGCCACACCCGUUGUCAUCAAAUGCUCAUGUUUAGGACUCUAAUUACUAAUGCUUCAGUUUGUUAAUCAUGAUUAGGGGUUCAAUAUGCAUGAUUAGUCAUUCCUUAGGCAUGAUUGCCUCUCUGUUGUUCAUGAUUAGUUAAGUUUUCAGUCUAAUUAUGCCACAGUUAUGCCUAAUCUACUAAGCUCAGUACCAUUUUUUUUCUUUUUUUGAGUAGAGCUCAGUACCAUUUUGGAUAAGCUUGUCGAAUUGGUGCAAGUCAGUAAGAAUUUGGGUCUAUGGUUACGGGCUCAGCAUGUAGAAGGAGAGGAAAUAAGGCAACAUGCAAAUCAAAUCCCAAAUUUCCGAAACGCUAGAGAAUGAUUUGUCCCUCAGUUCCCCAAAUCGAAUUGAUGAAUCAAGGCAAAUAGAAUACUAACGGCCGUUAGCAAAUAUAGGGUCCAGGGACCAGUUGCCUCCAGUACUCCAGUGCCGCGGCUCCCGGCGCAUGAGAUUUGCACCGCCGCCACGCGAAAGGCGCUGCCGCGGAGCCGCUCGAUGGCGCCGCGCGCAGCCACAGCCGCAUGCGCGCACCAGCGAACGGAUCCACGACAGGCAGCGCCGCCGUGUCGCAGCCUCGCCUUUGUGUCGCAUUCCCAUCUCAAGCCGUCGUCGGCCCCAUCUCAUGCCGCCGCUUUCUCACCAGUGGAAUGUGGAGGGGAAAGGGCAAAACGCCCUAGGAUUUUUGGCCGGAAUUGAUAGCGGCCGUUUGAUCAAAACAUACGGGUGAGAUCGCAUCUUGCUAAAACAGGCCGGUGGGCUGAGGCAGCCUGGCACAAAGUUGUGGCCCAGGCGUGAGGAGCUAGCCUGGUCAAAUGCUGCCCGUCCCGAGGAAUUGUUUCGGCCAUUAAAGAAUUUUCAUUCCUGUGGUGCGCCUUGAGGGUACAAUUUACGAAAAUAUUAUGGCCAAACAUCUAAUUUAGCUAUAUAGAGUACGGUUUACAUUUUGUAUGGUGGACCAAUUGAGUUUGAAAGGUGCACUCCGCAAUUAUGAUAUGAGUUUCUGCUUUUUAUUUUAGUCCUCUAAUUACCACUGGGUUAAUUUUAUGAUGUGUAAAUAUUUGUUUUGUGCUAUUAUGUGAAAGUUUAUUCUUUUUUCAUGCUCCAUGUAUUGCGCAAGAAAAUCAAGAAUAUCAAUGGAGUAUCAAUGACUUUGAAUGACAUGCAGCCACCACUAGAUUCAAGAGAAAGGAGGAGGCAACGAGAUAGAGAUCGGUAUGCACAUAUGCCUAUCCAAUAGAAGGAAAAAUUACUAAAAAGGUGCCGUGAAAAUUACCAACGAAAUAAAGCUGUAACCACUAAAGGUGGACUUGAACACCUUCAAUUGUCAGGUAAUACCAAUCAGUUAUACUUA
Panicum virgatum (switchgrass) is the source of this 5328-nucleotide long non-coding RNA. RefSeq lists it as uncharacterized. The record is from RefSeq and is a predicted model, not a curated record. The transcript has 3 exons. NCBI's taxonomy places the organism in Eukaryota, Viridiplantae, Streptophyta, Magnoliopsida, Poales, Poaceae.